CGAGGAAACACUUAGAUCAAACGUGAAUUGGAAAACGAUGAUGGAGGAUGAUCAACAGACGUGGAGUUCUGUGAAUUGGCCAUAAACAACAAAGAAAACAGCAGCAGACAUCGACACCUGGAGGAACUAGGCGACUGAUACCAUGUUAAGUGCUAAGUAGAAAACAUAACAAGACUACAGAGUAAUACUUUCAAUCAAUCUUUCUUACUUCUUUUCUUUGAAUACAUUGGCUAUGUUUAUACACACAUACCAGAGCGACUAUUCUUGAUUAACUGCAUAUCAAACUAAUUACGAG
RNAcentral lists this long non-coding RNA (295 nucleotides) under Gossypium raimondii (Peruvian cotton). Its description in RNAcentral is "long non-coding RNA (GRAI_LNC003174)". Lineage: Eukaryota; Viridiplantae; Streptophyta; Magnoliopsida; Malvales; Malvaceae. The record is from RNAcentral.